Molecule: ribosomal RNA, 253 nt
Filed under: uncultured bacterium
Lineage: Bacteria
Description: partial 16S ribosomal RNA
Rfam family: Bacterial small subunit ribosomal RNA
Source: RNAcentral
UACGUAGGGGCCAAGCGUUGUUCGGAUUUACUGGGCGUAAAGGGCGCGUAGGCGGCAAUUCAAGUCAGCUGUGAAAUCUCCGGGCUUAACUCGGAACGGUCAGCUGAUACUGCUUUGCUAGAGUGCAGAAGGGGCAAUCGGAAUUCUUGGUGUAGCGGUGAAAUGCGUAGAUAUCAAGAGGAACACCUGAGGUGAAGACGGGUUGCUGGGCUGACACUGACGCUGAGGCGCGAAAGCGAGGGUAGCAAACGGG